Molecule: long non-coding RNA, 581 nt
Organism: Erpetoichthys calabaricus (reedfish)
Lineage: Eukaryota; Metazoa; Chordata; Cladistia; Polypteriformes; Polypteridae
Exons: 3
Source: RefSeq, a predicted model, not a curated record
UCCUGCCAAGACUAAUGCUCUGGACGGGUGGCUGAAACUCGUGCUAACCGGGGAUAUACCGAGUAGAACUUGAGCAGUAACCAGUACUGACUAUGAAGGGUCCACGUGAAAGAGCUGGGGAAGAAAAAACAAACAGUCCCAAAAGACUGGAAACUUCGUGAGAAACGGAGGGACCGUCACGGUAUUCCAAAAGGAAAGCAGGAACCCGCGUUGACUUUGGUGGGAGUGUCCCCAGGAGAUGGGAGGGGUCAGAACAGUCGAGAAAAAAAAUAAAUAAACACAAGACUAGUGCAAGUAGGGCAAGUGCCAGGACUGAGUGAGUAGGUGUGCUGGGCAUAGGGUUAGCCAACUACUUAUACGGUGAGCAUGGCAGCGCUUAUAGGGUUGGCACAAAUAAUAAUACAUCAUUUACUUAUAGAUGAUAAAGGAUGGACAUUCCUUACACAGCAAGGCAUUGCUUUUCAUUUCCUGAGUGAAUAGGUAUGCUGGGCAUAGGGUUGGCACAAGUGACCAGCUAUUUAUAAGGUGAUUAUGGUGGGGCUUAUAGGGUUGGCACAAAUAAUAAUACAUCAUUUACUUAU